RNAcentral lists this ribosomal RNA (253 nucleotides) under uncultured bacterium. RNAcentral's name for it is "partial 16S ribosomal RNA". It matches the Rfam family "Bacterial small subunit ribosomal RNA", at positions 524 to 776 of the family's 1533-position model. The record is from RNAcentral.
UACGGAGGGCGCAAGCGUUGUUCGGAAUCAUUGGGCGUAAAGCGCGUGUAGGCGGUCUGGUCAGUCGGGUGUGAAAGCCCGGAGCUCAACUCCGGAACUGCACUCGAUACUGCCAGGCUAGAGUCCCGGAGAGGGUGGUGGAAUUCCCGGUGUAGAGGUGAAAUUCGUAGAUAUCGGGAGGAACACCAGUGGCGAAGGCGGCCACCUGGACGGUGACUGACGCUGAGACGCGAAAGCGUGGGGAGCAAACAGG